UGGGGAAUUUUGACAAUGGGGGAAACCCUGAUCCAGCCAUCCCGCGUGUGCGAUGAAGGCCUUCGGGUUGUAAAGCACUUUUGGCAGGAAAGAAACGUCGCGGGUUAAUACCCCGCGAAACUGACGGUACCUGCAGAAUAAGCACCGGCUAACUACGUGCCAGCAGCCGCGGUAAUACGUAGGGUGCAAGCGUUAAUCGGAAUUACUGGGCGUAAAGCGUGCGCAGGCGGUUCGGAAAGAAAGAUGUGAAAUCCCAGAGCUUAACUUUGGAACUGCAUUUUUAACUACCGGGCUAGAGUGUGUCAGAGGGAGGUGGAAUUCCGCGUGUAGCAGUGAAAUGCGUAGAUAUGCGGAGGAACACCGAUGGCGAAGGCAGCCUCCUGGGAUAACACUGACGCUCAUGCACGAAAGCGUGGGGAGCAAACAGGAUUAGAUACCCUGGUAGUCCACGCCCUAAACGAUGUCAACUAGCUGUUGGGGGCCUUCGGGCCUUGGUAGCGCAGCUAACGCGUGAAGUUGACCGCCUGGGGGAGUACGGUCGCAAGAUUAAAAACUAAAAGGAAUUGAACGGGGGUCAUAGCUGUUUCCU
RNAcentral lists this ribosomal RNA (589 nucleotides) under uncultured bacterium. RNAcentral's name for it is "partial 16S ribosomal RNA". It matches the Rfam family "Bacterial small subunit ribosomal RNA", at positions 355 to 1375 of the family's 1533-position model. The record is from RNAcentral.